UACCAGCUCUCCGAGUGGUAGGGAUGAUUAUUGGGCUUAAAGCGUCCGUAGCCGGCUUAGCAAGUCUCCUGUUAAAUUCAGCGACCUAAUCGUUGAGCCGCGGGAGAUACUACUAGGCUAGGAGGCGGGAGAGGUCAACGGUACUUCCGGGGUAGGGGUGAAAUCCUAUAAUCCCGGGAGGACCACCAGUGGCGAAGGCUGUUGACUAGAACGCGCUCGACGGUGAGGGACGAAAGCUGGGGGAGCGAACCGGAUUAGAUACCCGGGUAGUCCCAGCUGUAAACGAUGCGAGCUAGGUGUUGGGGUGGCUACGUGCCACUUCAGUGCCGCAGGGAAGCCAUUAAGCUCGCCGCCUGGGGAGUACGGCCGCAAGGCUAGAAACUUAAAGGAAUUGGCGGGGGAGCACCACAAGGCGUGAAGCUUGCGGUUC
This 430-nucleotide ribosomal RNA is filed under the name uncultured archaeon. Its description in RNAcentral is "bacterial SSU rRNA". It matches the Rfam family "Archaeal small subunit ribosomal RNA", at positions 474 to 903 of the family's 1478-position model. The record is from RNAcentral.